AUGGACGAAAGUCUGAUGCAGCAACGCCGCGUGGAGGAUGACACAUUUCGGUGCGUAAACUCCUUUUAUAUAAGAAGAUAAUGACGGUAUUAUAUGAAUAAGCACCGGCUAACUCCGUGCCAGCAGCCGCGGUAAUAC
This 138-nucleotide ribosomal RNA is filed under the name uncultured Arcobacter sp. RNAcentral describes it as "partial 16S ribosomal RNA". It matches the Rfam family "Bacterial small subunit ribosomal RNA", at positions 371 to 526 of the family's 1533-position model. Lineage: Bacteria; Pseudomonadati; Campylobacterota; Epsilonproteobacteria; Campylobacterales; Arcobacteraceae. The record is from RNAcentral.